UCGCGUUUUCGGAGCGGCCGAUAUCGGAUUAGCUAGUAGGUGAGGUAAAGGCUCACCUAGGCGACGAUCCGUAGCUGGUCUGAGAGGACGACCAGCCACACUGGAACUGAGACACGGUCCAGACUCCUACGGGAGGCAGCAGUGGGGAAUUUUGGACAAUGGGCGAAAGCCUGAUCCAGCCAUGCCGCGUGAGUGAAGAAGGCCUUCGGGUUGUAAAGCUCUUUCAGCCGGAAAGAAAACGCAUGGGUUAAUAACCUGUGUGGAUGACGGUACCGGAAGAAGAAGCACCGGCUAACUACGUGCCAGCAGCCGCGGUAAUACGUAGGGUGCGAGCGUUAAUCGGAAUUACUGGGCGUAAAGCGUGCGCAGGCGGUUUUGUAAGACAGAUGUGAAAUCCCCGGGCUUAACCUGGGAACUGCAUUUGUGACUGCAAGGCUAGAGUACGGCAGAGGGGGGUAGAAUUCCACGUGUAGCAGUGAAAUGCGUAGAUAUGUGGAGGAAUACCGAUGGCGAAGGCAGCCCCCUGGGUCGAUACUGACGCUCAUGCACGAAAGCGUGGGGAGCAAACAGGAUUAGAUACCCUGGUAGUCCACGCCCUAAACGAUGUCAACUAGGUGUUGGGGGAGGAGACUUCCUUAG
This 639-nucleotide ribosomal RNA is filed under the name uncultured bacterium. Its description in RNAcentral is "bacterial SSU rRNA". It matches the Rfam family "Bacterial small subunit ribosomal RNA", at positions 213 to 843 of the family's 1533-position model. The record is from RNAcentral.